UGAGAAUUAUCAUCUGUAUG
This 20-nucleotide microRNA is filed under the name Picea abies (Norway spruce). Its description in RNAcentral is "pab-miR11533a". Lineage: Eukaryota; Viridiplantae; Streptophyta; Pinopsida; Pinales; Pinaceae. The record is from miRBase by way of RNAcentral.